GAUGCGCAUGCGCAGACAGAGUGUGCGAGCGGCGGGCCUUGACCUUUCGGGAAAAAAAAACUCACGGACGGUGACAGCGAAACGGAUAACAGUCUUCAGUACCUGCUGGACUUUGAAGCUCUGGAUUCUGGGACUGUUAGAAAAGCUCCAAAAAAAUGAGGAAGAGGAGGGGGAGAAACACAAUUAGGUUGAAUUACAAUUGGAUGGAAGGCGAGGACAAGGAGAAGGAAGCUUAGGAUGAGGAGGAAGAGAAGCAGCAGGAGCAUCUUUAGGGAUCCCUAUGAGAGGCAGCGGCAAGAGGGGAGACCUCGGGUCAUCCAGCUGGAGAGCCUGACCAGGAGGAGUCGAACAUUAACUCAGCUCUUCCAGGGCACCCUGCAGACUCUGCUGUUGGCAUCGCUCUAGGAUGACGUGAACGCCAAACUGGAGUCCAUCACAGGUCAACUGCAGCUCCUUGUCUCAGAGUGGGAGGGGUUUGAAGCACAAAGGGAGGAACUUGUCGUUUGGUUGGCUGAUAUGGAUGUCCGCCUGAGUGAGGUUGACCAGCUGACAGGAAACACCAGUGAAAAACUGAAACAACUGCAGGUGUGGGCUUGUUUUGAUAUGACAUAUACAGGGAGUGCAGAAUUAUUAGGAGAGUUGUAUUUUUGAGGAAUAAUUUUAUUAUUGAACAACAACCAUGUUCUCAAUGAACCCAAAAAACUCAUUAAUAUCAAAGCUGAAUGUUUUUGGAAGUAGUUUUUAGUUUGUUUUUAGUUUUAGCUAUUUUAGGGGGAUAUCUGUGUGUGCAGGUGACUAUUACUGUGCAUAAUUAUUAGGCAACUUAACAAAAAACAAAUAUAUACCCAUUUCAAUUAUUUAUUUUUACCAGUGAAACCAAUAUAACAUCUCCACAUUCACAAAUAUACAUUUCUGACAUUCAAAAACAAAACAAAAACCAAUCAGCGACCAAUAUAGCCACCUUUCUUUGCAAGGACACUCAAAAGCCUGCCAUCCAAGGAUUCUGUCAGUGUUUUGAUCUGUUCACCAUCAACAUUGCGUGCAGCAGCAACCACAGCCUCCCAGACACUGUUCAGAGAGGUGUACUGUUUUCCCUCCUUGUAAAUCUCACAUUUGAUGAUGGACCACAGGUUCUCAAUGGGGUUCAGAUCAGGUGAACAAGGAGGCCAUGUCAUUAGUUUUUCUUCUUUUAUACCCUUUCUUGCCAGCCACGCUGUGGAGUACUUGGACGCGUGUGAUGGAGCAUUGUCCUGCAUGAAAAUCAUGUUUUUCUUGAAGGAUGCAGACUUCUUCCUGUACCACUGCUUGAAGAAGGUGUCUUCCAGAAACUGGCAGUAGGACUGGGAGUUGAGCUGGACUCCAUCCUCAACCCGAAAAGGCCCCACAAGCUCAUCUUUGAUGAUACCAGCCCAAACCAGUACUCCACCUCCACCUUGCUGGCGUCUGAGUCGGACUGGAGCUCUCUGCCCUUUACCAAUCCAGCCACGGGCCCAUCCAUCUGGCCCAUCAAGACUCACUCUCAUUUCAUCAGUCCAUAAAACCUUAGAAAAACCAGUCUUGAGAUAUUUCUUGGCCCAGUCUUGACGUUUCAGCUUGUGUGUCUUGUUCAGUGGUGGUCGUCUUUCAGCCUUUCUUACUUUUUUUUUUUUUUUUUAAACACUUUAAAGUAUACAAAAUUACAUAUAAAAUUUACACACACAUACAAUUACAUAUGCAAAACUGUAAUCACACACCACUCACCAAAGAAAAAGUCAAACAAGGAGGAAAAUCGAGCAUCUGAGUCCACAAACCACUUUUAAAACUUACAAUUUCAAUACGUUCCAGGGGAAAACUUUCCCAAGUUUCAGGUCCAUUGUUCGUCUUCUACGCAGAUCUGCAAUGAUAUGUUUACUCACCACAUCACUACUUAUCAUUUUUUGUUCAAACACUCCUUUGGCACGGGUUUUCCAAAUAUGUGUGUUUAUUACACACAUUACUAACCAAAAGAGUCUCCUUUUGUCGUCACACAUUUUUUCUUUAAACAAACCAUAUUUAACUGCUUUAAUAUUGACAUCCACAUCAUAGCCAAUCUCUGUCAUCUUCUGCCUGAUCUCAGUUGUCCUAUAACAAUCCAAUAGAAGAUGUUCUAGGGUCUCAUCUUCAUCACAGCCUGUCAUAGGACAUUUCAUGGUGGUAACGAAACAACUCCACUGUACCACCGCCCUCACAGGGAGGCGCCCGAGCGAGAUGAGCCAUACCACGUCUCUCAUGCUUUCGGAUAAUAGUUGGUCUUGUACAUUUUUAACUAUUAAAGGAUUUUCAUCUUGAUUUGCAUACUUAUAUUGGAUUACACCUUCGUUUUUGGAUUCAUUAAUCUUUUUAUAAAUAUUUUUCGUGUUCUCUUGGAGAAUAUUUAAACCAUAUUGUUCCCAUUGACUAGAUAAAUCACCAAACAUAAGUCUGUGGUAUGGAACGCCCGCUCUGGCCCUGCCUCUUUUCUUUUGCCACAAUUCCUCUUUCCCUCGAACCCACGGGGCACCCCGAGAAAUUGCACUUUGAGUAAUUUUUAUAAAAGGGAUUCGCAAGACAAUCUCUAAGUCUGGGGCUCCCAAGCCCCCGUACUUCCUAUUCUUGUACAUAAAUUUUCUCUUAGUCACUUCUCGAUUGGAUCCCCAGAUAAAUUUAAUGCACAUCUUAGUUAUUUUCAUUACAGUUGUUCUCGGGGGAGGAAAAAUUGCGGCAAGGAACAGGAGUUUGGAAAUUAUGUGUGUUUUUACAAUAUUAAUACGUGUUUUAUAAUUUGUAUCUUUGUUCUCCCAUUUCAUAAUUUCCAUUUUAAUUUCAUUUUCUUUCUUAUUCCAAUUUAAUAAACUAGAGUCAGUAUUAUCAAUCCAUAUACCCAAAAUUUUAAUCUCCCUACAUAGAGAGAUCAUCAUUUUAGGUUGUCUGGUCUGAAGUCCAAGCCACACCCCUUCAGUUUUUUCUUGGUUAAGCUUAGCACCUGAUGCCUGUUCGUAGUGGUGUAGUAUCUCCAUAACUGAAGACAGUUCGUUUUGAUUUCUAAUUAUCACCGACACGUCAUCUGCAUAUGCCAAAGCUGCGAUUUUAUGGGAUUUGUCAGCCUUUCUUACCUUGGCCAUCUCUCUGAGUAUUGCACACCUUGUGCUUUUGGGCACUCCAGUGAUGUUUCAGCUCUGAAAUAUGGCCAAACUGGUGGCAAGUGGCAUCUUGGCAGCUGCACGCUUGACUUUUCUCAGUUCAUGGGCAGUUAUUUUGCGCCUUGGUUUUUCCACACGCUUCUUGCGACCCUGUUGACUAUUUUGAAUGAAACGCUUGAUUGUUCGAUGAUCACGCUUCAGAAGCUUUGCAAUUUUGAGACUGCUGCAUCCCUCUGCAAGAUAUCUCACUAUUUUUGACUUUUCUGAGCCUGUCAAGUCCUUCUUUUGACCCAUUUUGCCAAAGGAAAGGACGUUGCCUAAUAAUUAUGCACACCUGAUAUAGGGUGUUGAUGUCAUUAGACCACACCCCUUCUCAUUACAGAGAUGCACAUCACCUAAUAUUGCUUAAUUGGUAGUAGGCUUUCGAGCCUAUACAGCUUGGAGUAAGACAACAUGCAUGAAGAGGAUGAUGUGGACAAAAUACUCAUUUGCCUAAUAAUUCUGCACUCCCUGUAUUUGAUAUGAAACAUACGUCAGAGACAUUGUCCUAAACUGGACUAACAAAGGACCAUGAGUACAACAUGAAAUGUACAUUACAUAGCGUAAUGCUAAAGUUCAUUGAUCAUUUUAAUCAUAAACUUGUUGUUGAAAUAUUUUUACUGAACAUGCAAACAUCUGCUGAUGAAAAUGUGUUGAUUUAUUGGUCUGUUAUGAAGCUAUUGCUAUUUCUAAUGUGUUUUAUCACUUUCGGAUGUUUUAUUAAUUAAACAAUACAUGUAUUGUUGUGUUAUCUGUAGCUAUAGUAUUUAUAUAUAUUUAUUUAUAGUAUAGCAAAUAUAUUUAAUUAUUACUGUUUAAAACACUAAUAUGUGACAUGUAUUAGUAGUGAUGUUGUGCUGAGGGUUAAAAUGCCUUUUUGUCUUUUUGUAACUACAAAAUGACAAUAAACCAUUAAUAUAU
Molecule: long non-coding RNA, 4097 nt
Organism: Astatotilapia calliptera (eastern happy)
Lineage: Eukaryota; Metazoa; Chordata; Actinopteri; Cichliformes; Cichlidae
Source: Ensembl